Molecule: ribosomal RNA, 490 nt
Filed under: uncultured bacterium
Lineage: Bacteria
Description: partial 16S ribosomal RNA
Rfam family: Bacterial small subunit ribosomal RNA
Source: RNAcentral
AUUGAACGCUGGCGGCAGGCCUAACACAUGCAAGUCGAACGGUAACAGGAAGAAGCUUGCUUCUUUGCUGACGAGUGGCGGACGGGUGAGUAAUGUCUGGGAAACUGCCUGAUGGAGGGGGAUAACUACUGGAAACGGUAGCUAAUACCGCAUAACGUCGCAAGACCAAAGAGGGGGACCUUCGGGCCUCUUGCCGUCGGAUGUGCCCAGAUGGGAUUAGCUAGUAGGUGGGGUAACGGCUCACCUAGGCGACGAUCCCUAGCUGGUCUGAGAGGAUGACCAGCCACACUGGAACUGAGACACGGUCCAGACUCCUACGGGAGGCAGCAGUGGGGAAUCUUGCACAAUGGGCGCAAGCCUGAUGCAGCAAUGCCGCGUGUAUGAAGAAGGCCUUCGGGUUGUAAAGUACUUUCAGCGGGGAGGAAGGGAGUAGAGUUAAUACCUUUGCUCAUUGACGUUACCCGCAGAAGAAGCACCGGCUAACUCCGUG